CCUACGGGUGGCAGCAGUGGGGAAUAUUGCACAAUGGUGGAAACCCUGAUGCAGCGACGCCGCGUGAGUGAAGAAGUAUUUCGGUAUUUAAAGCUCUAUCAGCAGGAACGAGACAAGACGGUACCUGACUAAGAAGCCCCUGCUAACUACGUGCCAGCAGCCGCGUUAAUACGUAGGGGGCAAGCGUUAUCCGGAAUCACUGGGUGUAAAGGGAGCGUAGACGGCUGAGCAAGCCUGAAGUGAAAGGCGGGGGCCCAACCCCUGGACUGCUUUGGGAACUGUACGGCUGGAGUGCAGGAUAGGUAAGUGGAAUUCCUAGUGUAGUGGUGAAAUGCGUAGAUAUUAGGAGGAACACCAGUGGCGAAGGCGGCAUACUGGACGGUAACUGACGUUGAGGCUCGAAAGCGUGGGGAGCCAACAGGAUUAGAUACCCCUGUAGUC
This 441-nucleotide ribosomal RNA is filed under the name uncultured bacterium. RNAcentral's name for it is "partial 16S ribosomal RNA". It matches the Rfam family "Bacterial small subunit ribosomal RNA", at positions 338 to 795 of the family's 1533-position model. The record is from RNAcentral.